GAAUAUUGCACAAUGGGGGAAACCCUGAUGCAGCCAUGCCGCGUGUGUGAAGAAGGCCUUCGGGUUGUAAAGCACUUUCAGUGGUGAGGAAGGUUGGUAGUUUAAUACGCUACCAAAUUGACGUUAGCCACAGAAAGAGCACCGGCUAACCCCGUGCCGGCAGCGGCGGUAAUACGGAGGGUGCGAGCGUUAAUCGGAAUUACUGGGCGUAAAGCGUACGUAGGCGGCUUAUUAAGCGAGAUGUGAAAGCCCCGGGCUCAACCUGGGAAUUGCAUUUUGAACUGGUAGGCUCGAGUUUUGAAGAGGGUGGUAGAAUUUCCAGUGUAGCGGUGAAAUGCGUAGAUAUUGGAAGGAAUACCAGUGGCGAAGGCGGCCACCUGGUCAAAAACUGACGCUGAGGUACGAAAGCGUGGGGAGCAAACAGGA
Molecule: ribosomal RNA, 426 nt
Filed under: uncultured bacterium
Lineage: Bacteria
Description: bacterial SSU rRNA
Rfam family: Bacterial small subunit ribosomal RNA
Source: RNAcentral